This is an RNA transcript of Protopterus annectens (West African lungfish), 8598 nucleotides long. It is a transcript of the gene named A-kinase anchoring protein 6, with no coding region annotated. The record is from RefSeq and is a predicted model, not a curated record. Lineage: Eukaryota; Metazoa; Chordata; Ceratodontiformes; Protopteridae. The transcript is spliced from 17 exons.
AGCAGGUCAGAUGAGACCCCUCCUAGAAACAGAUCCCUUGAUGUACCACAAGCCUUUGAGAAAAUGAUGUGAAUAAGGAAAUGGGAUACAUGGUGGCUGGUGACUAACUUUCAGAUGGUCAGUGAGAAGACUUUUCACAGGAGUAUGCCUCUAUUUUUAUAAAACUGUAGAAAAUUCUUCUGGAAAUCCUUAAGAGAUUUAUCUGCAUCUCAAAAGGCACAAAUCAUUGUUUGCAAUGAGAAAAUGCUGGCAAAACUUCAUGGAACAUGAUACACAGAAACGGAGGCUGUGUGUUUGACUGAGUUAUAUUUUACAGGGCUGUGGUUUAGAUUACUCUAAUUCAAUGAUGAGUGUAGCAGUUUCAUCCCCGAUAUCACAAGAACUGGAUGCCAUGGCUACAGAUGCUUCCCCUAUGGUUUCUACUAUAACUCCAAUUGUAGAACAUGAACAAGAAAUGAGAAAAGAAGCCCUUCACGGUCAGCGUUAUGAGAAACCUCCACCUCUUCAUACUGGAGCAGACUGGAAAGUUGUAUUACACUUGCCAGAAAUUGAGACAUGGCUGCGAAUGACAUCAGAGCGAGUUCGAGAUCUGACAUACUCAGUGCAACAAGAUACAGAAAAUAAGCAUGUUGAUGUUCACUUGGUGCAACUAAAGGAUAUUUGUGAAGAUAUUUCAGACCAUGUGGAACAGAUUCACGCUUUGCUGGAGACCGAGUUUUCUUUGAAGCUCCUGUCUUACUCUGUCAAUGUAAUAGUGGACAUCCAUACUGUUCAACUACUCUGGCAUCAGUUAAGGGUCUCAGUUUUAGUGCUACGGGAACGUAUCCUUCAGGGACUACAGGAUACAAACGGAAAUUAUACGAGACAGACUGACAUCCUUCAAGCCUUCUCAGAGCACAGAAAAGAGGAUCGGCUUGAUGCCCUUACUGAAGUGGAUGACUCAGGACAACUGAUUAUCAAAUGCUCCCAGGAUUACUUUUCUUUAGACUGUGGAAUCACUGCAUUUGAACUGUCUGACUAUAGCCCAAGUGAGGACUUACCUGCUCAGGUUGAAAUCAUGACAUCCAGUCAAGUUAAGAGAAAGUCAAUUGAAACCUCAAAUGAUAGUGGUUUGGGAAAAGACCUUCUUGAGACUGUUGAAAACGCAGAUUUGCUUACUGUGGCAAAUGAUCCUGUGGCUACUAAGGUGGACAAACUUGAUGUACCUGAAAUAGAUCUUCCAUCUCGGGAAGAAAGACAGGGCACUAACACAUCAUCCCAAGUGACUAAACACCUUGUAUUUCCUUCAGCGAAAUCGAAAGGGAAUGGAAUGUCUAGUGAAAAUAUAUCACUUCCAAACAAUGAUGUAGUCAUUGACAAUGAACAUUGUUUUAACUUGGGAAAAAAGAACUCUAGCAAUAGUCGAGUGCAUCAUUUUAGUAAAAAUAAUAUACAACAAAAUCAGACUGAAAACACAACACCCAAAAGACCACUUACAGACUGCACUAAUUAUAAUGAACAAUCUCCAACACAGCCUUCUUUACCCAAAAAAGGCUUAUUCCUUGAAGAAUUGUCUAAAGAUGACAUGGAAACAAAUUCCUUUAAAACAAAGUGGGCUUCCUUCCCAUGUAAGACUGAAAUAAGCAGAAGCACUCCUUCAUUGCUAGAGCUUCCUGAUAGAUCUAAACUUUGGCUAGAUUUGGCUUCUUCAUACUCCGCUAAAGAUGCUCCUGCCGUGAGCCAGUCAUACGAGUGCUUAAAUAAAAUGGAUGAAAAGCAUAUUAAAUGUCUCACCAGAUGUUCCUCUUUGAAGAGAAUAUUAAAUCUAGGAAUCUCCAAUAACUUACAUGAAAAGCACCACAGACUGCAGCCAAAUGAACACUCUGAAGCAGAAUCCUGUACAUCUUCUAGGGGUAUGUUUAGUCCAAGUCAGGCAAAAAACAGUAAAAAUGAAAAUGUUUCAACCUACAAAAAACAAAGCCUUUCCCAUGCAGCUUCAAACAGAUCACUAGAUGAGCAGGGCAUUGAUAAUAUCCCUUACAGUCCAAUGUCGAUACAACAUAAUAAAGCAAAAAGCAUAUCCACUGUAUCUGUAUGCAAGCCACUGUUGCAGGCAUCCCAUUCCACCUUUCAAAGUAGUCUGUCUCCAAAUGGGCACAGUAUUCUGAUAUCCUCUUCACUUCCAAAACAGAACUGGAAAACGCAAGGAUCAUCACUAAGCCAUGUCCACAGCAAUGGAAGACAUUUGGAAGUGUGGUAUGGAUCUGACGAGUAUUUGGCACUUCCUUCACACCUUAAAGAAACGGAAAUAUUAGCCUUGAAACUGGAAAAUCUGACAAAAGAACUUCCCCAGAAAUCUACAGAAGGACAAUUUCAAGACAUCGAUGAUUGGGAGCUUUCCGAAAUGAAUUCAGAAUGUGAGAGCUAUCACUCGUUUCAAAUACGAAAGAAAUUUGGCAGAUCAGGAAACACUUCUCCCACCUCAUCAAGUGAUAUAGCCCCGUCACUCGAUGAUAGCGUUGAAUCAGGGACAGCUAACGAUCUUCUUUCUGAUGAGGAGCUUCCUAUUCAUGACAUGCUUGCUACCAAAUGUCAAAAACAAGAAUUGCAAAAGAGACUUGGCAAUCUUCCAUCUGGUUCAGUAGACAAAGACAAACCUACUUUGAGUAAAUCGGAAUUUAUUCAACAGUUGUUACAAGAUAUUCAGCAUCAGGAUAAUUAUAAAGACAUUUGGGAAAAGAUUGAGGGCUUUGUCAAGAAGCUGGAUGAAUUGAUCGGCUGGUUGUAUGAAGCAAUGGGAACAACAGAGAACUGGACUCCUCCCAAAGCUGACACGGACAGCCUCAGACUUUACCUAGAAACACAUUUGAGUUUUAAACUGAAUGUUGACAGCCAUUGUGCACUGAAGGAUGCUGUCAUAGAGGAGGGACGGCAGCUUUUGGAACUGAUUGAAUCUCACGAAACAGGACUGAAGGACACAUUGCAGAUGAUUUCUAGUCAAUGGAAAGAAAUACAAAGGCAAAUCAAACGGCAACACAGCUGGAUUCUGCGAGCUCUGGACAACAUCAAAGCUGAGAUCCUUUCCACUGAUGUGUCUGCUGAGGAUGAGGAAGGGACUGCAAGCCCUAAGGGUGAAGUCCAUCUCUGCCAUUUGGAAGCAAAGCGCGAUGCCGUUGAACAGAUGUCCUUGAAGCUCUACAGUGACUUAUACUCUAGCAGCAACAAGCGGCAACAGGAGUUUGCAGAAAUGUCCAAGGCCAACAGAACAGAGAAUGCUGGAUGGGGGUUUUGGAAUGCUGCUUCUAUAAUUUGGAAUAGCCUUUUGGACUUUGAUUCUGAAUAUCAGGAGCUGUGGGAUUGGCUGAUUGACAUGGAAUCCAUAGUGAUAGACAGUCAUGACCUGAUGAUGUCAGAAGAGCAGCAGAGGCAUCUUUACAAGGGGUACAGAGUGGAAAUGUCAAUGUGGCAACCAAAAAAGGAGGAGCUCCUUAAGAAAGUUGAACAACUGAAAGAAGCCGGAACAUCUCUGCCAGCCAGUCUUCUAGACAAAGUGGAGUCAGUAACUGAAAAAUGGAAAUUACUGGAGAAAACUCUUGGAGAAAAGAUCCAAAGUUCAGUGGCAGGGCAGAGCAGGAUGGCAUCACGUGACCUUCUGUCACCUGUGAGCAAUGGUCUGGUGAGGAAGCUGGAACUCAGGAUCAAAGAGUUGAAAGGGUGGCUGAGGGACACUGAGCUUUUCAUCUUCAACUCAUGCCUACGACAAGAGAAGGAAGGGACAAUGGAUGCUCCGAAACAGCUGCAGUACUUUAAGUCUCUGUGUAGUGAAGUCAAACAGCGUCGCCGUGGUAUUGCCUCUGUUUUACGUCUUUGCCAACGUCUCCUUGAUGAUCAAGAAACCUGCAAUUUAGAUGAAGAUCGUCAGUCUUUGCAGCUCAUCAUUGUGAACUUGGAAAGAAGGUGGGAAGCUAUUGUUAUGCAGGCAGUCCAGUGGCAGGCCAGACUACAGAAACACUUAGGACAAAAACAGGACGACCUGAAUAUUAUUGAGCCCGCAUUCAUGGAUCUGAAUGGCUCAGGAGAUGAUGCAUUAGAAUGGGAUGAAACAGACAUAAAUAAUCAUUUAAUCAGUGUGGAUGAAGAGGAUUCCUGUGAUUUUGUCCAAGACCAGACUUUGAACACGGGGUCUUCAUUAGAAUCAUCUGAACAUCCUGAUGGUAAUGUGGCACUGGAGAAUCAGUCUGCAUCUCAUGGAAGCUGCCCUUAUAUUUCUAACAGUGCAGCUGCCUUUUCUAAUCCACGUGUUUAUCAGGUGUACAGCUUGCAUAAAGUCGAAUUAUAUGAUAAUAACCGCAUACCCUUUCUUACAAACAUUAUGGACCUCCAUACUGUAAAACCGUCAAAUAAUACCCAGAAAAGAACAAAUAAAGAUUCAUCAUUUUCUUCCACAGAAUCCUUACAAAAACUGCAGUCAGAUAUUAGCUCAUUCAGAACUGGGGACUGCGUAUACCAUGGCGAUGCAAGGAAAGGCAGUGGAAGUGAAAGUGGAAUAGCCAGUGAGGGUGACACUGAACUCGUAACAAAUUCUGAGGACACCUUCAUUCAUACUACCAUUGCAUCACAGAACACUCUUACCUGUAAACCUUUACAACUCCAGACACCUGUUGCAAACAAAGAUAACUUAAUCUUCAAAAACAUUUGGAAUGGAACUGAAAAUCCUGCAUCUUCAGAAAUUAUGCCAAAGAGCUUUGGAUCGUGUAUCAGUAAAAAAGAUACUGGCUUCAUGAGUGGUCAAGAACCUGUGUCAGAUUAUUUCUUAGAUAGUCUACAUGGUAAACAAAAUAAGUUUACAUUUUGUGACUAUUCUUACCUUCAGGGGUCUGAUGACAAAUUGCCAGAGAUAAGCAAACACUUGCUCACAAAUCAGGUCUUUAAAAAUAAUACUAAGUCUAACAUUUAUUUCCCGCCUGCCUUAGUAAAAAAUCAAAAUGAGCUCUCAAUAUCUGAAACAUGCCUUCCUGAAGAUGCAAAUUAUAACUUGAGUAAGACAUGUAAUGAGAUUCAUGACUUUAGCACACAGAAAUGCAAGGAAAUUAAUAAUGGGAAACAGAAUGAAAAACAAUUUAUAUCCCUAUCUCACAGCUCAUCUGUUGAGUCAUUGUUACAAGCUGGUGAUGUACUUGGCAAUGGCCUUUCUAAAAGUGGAGAUUUUCUCCAGCGUAGCGCUUCAUUAGAGAGCUGGUUAACAUCAUACAAAAGCAAUGAAGAGCUGUAUAGUCAACAUGGAUCAGAUGAUAUAAGCAUUGGUAGUGAUUCAGUUGGAGAACUUAGCAAAAGGACACUUGAUCUCUUACAGCGUUUGGAGAACAUUCAUGAUCCAUUAAGUCCAAACAUAAAGCGAAGUGUCUCUGACAUGACACUUCAGAGCAGCUCCCAGAAGAUGGCUUUGACUGGUCAGAUGUCAUUGGAUAUUGCAUCAUCAAUAAAUGAAGACUCAGCUGCUUCACUUACUGAAUUCAGCAGCAGCGAGGAACUGUCAGUUUGUUCUGAAGAUAUUGUGGUACAAAAGAAUAGAAUUCCAAAUUCCAAUGUAUCCUUUAGGAAGCAUUUGAAUCGAUCAGUAGUAGAUGAGACUGACGUUAACAUUAGCAUGAUCGUUAAUGUUUCUUGCACUUCAGCAUGCACUGAUGAUGAAGACGACAGUGAUUUACUGUCCAGUUCCACACUUACUUUAACUGAAGAAGAACUUUGCCUUCAUGAUGAUGAUGAUGAUGAUGACUCAAGUAUUGUUACAGAUGAUGAUAUUUAUGAAGAAUGCAAUUCACUUUGGGGAACUGAUUAUAUAAAGAAUGAAUUACAGUCCUGGAUUAAGCCCAAACUGGUGGUCAGCAAAGAAGAAAGAAACAUACAGAGUACUUUAGCUGAGUUCAGUGAUACCUUAUCAGUUCUGGCAGAAUCCACAAAUAAAACUACAACUAAAGCCAGUCCAAAACAAGUGGAAACUAAUGGAAAUAAUAAGAAAGAAUCAAAUGGUCAAAUCAUGUUGAAUGUGAAAACAAUUUCUAAAGAGAGUGCACGUGCUGAUUCAGACCGGUUUGUAGAUGACAUGGAGAAUGGCAAUAUUGAAAAGUCUCCUGAAAGGCAUAAAAGUAAACUUAUUCAUAAAUAUGAGAGCCCUGGGUACUUUUCUUUAAACAGUAGCAAAGUUUUAGAAGCCACUAAUUACAAAUCUAAUAUGUUCCUUUGUAAUUCUGCAAAUAAAGAUUCCAAGGCAUGUGAUAUAAGUUGUUCACCAUCAUCAGAACUACCAAUAGGCUCAGAAGGAGACACUCAAAAGGUUCAUUUGAUGGAUAACUCCAAAGGAACUCCAUUUUGUCAUUCUGCUAAAAAAAACCUUCCAAUGCCAGUUUCUCAAAAUGUUAGCAGUGUUGAUGCCAAGGCUGUUGGCUUUCAAAAUACAUCAUAUGAUAGUAAAAAUAGUGAAAACAUCCUAAAUGAGGCAUCACUGGGAGAUAGUGGUUCAGUGUACAGUACUCCUUGUAAUGUAACUGAAAAUGGCAUUUGUUGUUGCAGUAGUUAUUGUCAUGGUAACGGAGAGAACAUAACUGAAGAAGAGAGUUCAGUGCACAGCUUUGUAAAGGAGAUAAUUGGGAUGGCGUCAACAGCAUUAAGAAGUAAAUCUAAUGCAGAAUGUGAGACAGAGAGUGUCACUUCUGUUACCCAAAUUAGGGAAAAGGUUUUAGAACAUUCUCAUAGACCUAUACAGUUAAGGAAAGGAGAUUUUUACUCAUAUCUUUCUUUAUCCUCUCAUGACAGUGACUGCGGUGAAGUGAGCAGUUUUGAGGAGGCAAACACAAGUACUCCAGUACCAACAGAGGCUGAGGAUGACCCUGACUCGGACGUAAAGAAAGACAAUGAACUUGUUUUUGAGGCUUGCAAAGAAGAUGAAGAUUGUUUUGACCCUUUGCUCGACACAUACACUUCUAGUUCAGACAGCACCCUUAUAUCAUCCAGCAGUUCUGCCUAUUUAGUUAAACAAGCAGAUCAUUCUGAAAGUCUUAAUUUGUCUGUUUUUAGUGGAAAUGUGGACACAUGUGUGCCAAAGAGUGAUUGUUUUCAUAACCAAAACCAAACCUCUGUUCUGGACAGUGCCUGUAAAGUACAUUUGCCAACAGAGUGCCAAAGUGAAAAUGCUGAUGUUAAAACAUUACCACUUCCUACUACGAAACACUCUAAUGAUAAAACAAAACUAACAAAAAAUACUUUGGCUCCCUUAAAGAGUGUCAUCACAGAUUUACACUUACACCCCAAGCCUAUACAUGAAAUCUGUAUCAUGCAACAUAUUACCAAAUUAAAUGUGUCAGAAAAAAAGCCUUUUGAUAAUCACAGAAACUUCCACGUCUGGCAUGAUGUGAAGCCAAAAUAUGCAAAGCAAAACAACGGUCAUCCUCAUAAAGCAGAUUCAUCUGAGGAACAGGUCUCUGAUGUUGAACAUAGGAAAUUAUUCAAGUAGACCACCCAAAAUCAUGUUUGUGUACUCCAGGAAGAAGCUGUGCAUUCACAGCAGCGUUGGUUUGAUGGCAUAAAAUGCACCUGCUGUACAUAGGUUCGAGUUCAUAGAAACCUGCUUGCAGUUCAGCACCGCAAUUACCUUCUGCUCAGUGAUCAAUUCUGCGACCCACACCACCAUGAAUCAUUGCCCAGGUUAAGUUUUCUUGUGCGCACAAGACCACCUCCUCCACUUAUGAGCUGCUCAUUCCUAUAUGGUGCUUUGGUUGCGUCAUUCAUCAUGGUUACGUACACUGCAGCUGUUUGGUAUAAGCAGCACGUUUGAACUUCUGCACUGAGCUACCUCCAAGGACUCCUCAAUCCUGGCUGUCACUGUCUGCACACCUUUUCUUGGCAGUUAAAUAUGUUGCAUAUUGAACUAUAUCUGAAUACCUAGUGGGGUUUCAAAGUUUUUGAUCAUUUUAGAACUGUUUCCUUCAGUGUUGCAUAAUACAUAAAGAUAAAUGUUUUAAUGUGAAAUAAGUCAGUUUGCUGAAGCUGCUUUACUUUUACAAACAGUCAUAUACUUUAAUAAGUUUAUUGUAAUUAAUGACACCUCACAUUCAAAACUGAUCAGUAUGAACAUAGUCCUUCAUUUGCAUUAUACAAGAAUUAAAUCUAUGCAACACUUUAAGAAAAAUACUGAUGCAGUGUUGUAUAAUAAUCCUUCACAUUCUUCUGGUUUGGAAAUAUUUUUAGUUUGUUUUUAAAUGCUAAAGACAAUAUUGAAAAUGAUAAAAAUGUGUGCCUUGCUUUAUUUCUUAUACUAUUUAUUAAAAAGCUGCUUUCCCAAUUGAUAACAUGUAAAGUCAGGAAAUAGCAAGGUGAAAACGCGUGCAUACUUUUUUGUAUAUAUGUACAAGCAAGUGCAAACCUCGAUGUGUAAUAUUAGUAUAAAAUGCUUUCAUGUCUGUGUUGUUUAGUGAUGUGGAAAAUACUAAGCCUUAAAUCUGUUAGUCUGCAUGGUAACACAGAUUGGCAUAAUAAACAGAAUUUAUUGAAAAUGAAAGAUUCAGGAAUGUAUUUACAAGACAAUGGCAUCAUAUCUUAGUAAAACUCACAAUUUAAUACUUA